Long non-coding RNA from Lutra lutra (Eurasian river otter), 485 nucleotides. RefSeq lists it as uncharacterized. The transcript is spliced from 3 exons. Lineage: Eukaryota; Metazoa; Chordata; Mammalia; Carnivora; Mustelidae. The record is from RefSeq and is a predicted model, not a curated record.
GACCUGCAGAACAACACGUGAUAGUUCUGCCACUCUUCGCGGACAGGGAUGGGUUUUUCUUCCUCCUGACAGCUGGGUAAAGACUGUGGAGUGGGGAGAGACAGAAGGCAGAAAAUGGGGCGAGGCCAGAGCCGGCAAGGUGAAGUCGACGGGACACUUGAGGAUGAGAGAAGGUGUUCUCUUUGUUGUGAUGUAGGCCUUUCUUCGGGUUCCCUGAAACAUUUCUACUGAGGUUUAUUUCACUCACAACUGAGAUAGAAGAAGACGCUGAGUCACCAUUGUGCAUGUGAGAGGGAGCAGGACCCCAAGAAGCACAAGACAGGAGGAGACCUGAGAGUAUUUUGACUAGGACAUCCAACUGCCUUCUGGCCUCCAUUGUUUCUGGUGAAAAGUUUUAGGAUCAAAGGGUUUAAGCUGGAGAGGCUAGAAGUUGGAGUUGAGAGAAUUUCUUUGGAGAGCGCUAUUGAUGUGCUCUGGGUAACAGC